UGUUGACCCGACGUCACACUCGGCGGGGUUAUAAAAAUCCCCUGAAUUUAUUCUGCAGUCAUUCGCAGUGAGAAAAGCCAUAGACAAGGCAGUCACACCGUACAUAAUUGGAACAGAGACAGCCAACAAAAUGACGACCGUUUACAUUGGAUUCCUUCUCCUUGCCAUGCUUUUUUCAUCACAGGUCCAUGCGCAAAACACUACCACACAGUCCCUUCCUACGAAUGUGACCAAAGCUGACUUCACGAGUUCCUCGAUGCUCAACGUCAGUACCACGAACGUCAGUACCACGAACGUCUCCAUUCCUCAAGGAGCCAGUGUGACCUUGCAGUCCAGUGCAUUCACGCUCCUCAUCCCUGUGGUGGUCUCGCUCCUACAGGGCUGCUUCUAGAGGGUUCAUCUGCACUGAACAAAAGCCAAGACUAACAUCGGCAGCCUAGAUGUGCAAAUGUUUUACAAAGAGCACAUUCAUUCUCGGAAGGUAGCCAUUUGCGCACCUAAGCUGUGGGAUUCGGUGGCACGGGCAAAAACACUUUUCUUUGUGCUCGCACCUCCUGGCUGCUUCAAACCGUAGGCCUACACUCUGCUCACGGGCCCCAAGCCCAUGGCUUGGCAACAAGCUGUCUCACUGCAGAAUGGGACAUUUGUCCAUAUACCUUUGCGGUUUAGGCAUUAAUUCACAAAUGGGUAAGGUUUGGGAUAGGGUUAAGUCAUUUAAAGUGCCUAGCACUGGGAUUGAACACAAGACUAAUAAAUGGUAAUAGUGCUCACCGUUGCCCCUUGUGGCCAAUUUUGAAGUAAUCUCCUGACAUCCUGCUUACCUAGAAAGAUGUCUGAUUUUGCAGUGGUUCUUUAGUGACCUGGCCAUGAGGCUCUAUUAAACUCUAUUCUUUGACUCAAUAUUGUGUAAUUGCAGACCGCAAUUCAUGGGGUUUCUGGAUAUCAGGAGAAGCACAUUGGUGCCUGCUUUUCCUGGUAAAACACCCUGAAUUUGUCAGUUCUGGUGUUGAGACAGUUUCUUGACAUUUGUUUACAUGGCAGGUAAGGAUAAUUAACGUGGCCGGUUAGGUGACUUGGUGUGCCAGGUUAGGAGAAUGAGGUAAAGGGUUAGCUUUAGAUACUGUUGUCCCCAACGUGAACUACAUGACCACGGACCAGUGGUGCGCAUCAAUGGGUGUAACUUGAUUUCAAGAAACGCCCUAUCUGAAACGCCCCUACUCCUUUGCUUCACUUGGUCCCACUGUUCCUGAUUUCAGACAGAGUUUAACUUGUGUACAUUUUGGCUGUGCCUGGGGAAAUCGGCAACUGUUUGAGGUGCAUUGGAAAAUAACAGCCUAUAUUUGUCUGAUCUGUGGCACUUAUGUCCUUAACAGUGCUAUUCUUAAUCCUGCAACUGCAAUGGACACUUUGUCAGAGGCUUGAUGUAGCCUACACUUGUGAUAAACUUAUAGAAUUUUAUAUUGUAAACAUGUGACUUAUGUAAGUCAGUGAUGCUUUUAGAUCUCUUUGUAUGUCAGGUUCAAUAAAGCUUUGAAAUGUA
This is a long non-coding RNA of Oncorhynchus nerka (sockeye salmon), 1540 nucleotides long. RefSeq lists it as uncharacterized. The record is from RefSeq and is a predicted model, not a curated record. NCBI's taxonomy places the organism in Eukaryota, Metazoa, Chordata, Actinopteri, Salmoniformes, Salmonidae. The transcript is spliced from 2 exons.